Molecule: non-coding RNA, 153 nt
Organism: Cucumis melo (muskmelon)
Lineage: Eukaryota; Viridiplantae; Streptophyta; Magnoliopsida; Cucurbitales; Cucurbitaceae
Source: Rfam
GUUUGUAUUCUUCCACAGCUUUCUUGAACUGCAUCCCUUCCUGAACUCAAUUCGCUCUUAAUUUCCCCUUUCUCGAUCUCUCGAUCGAUCUCAAAGCGUUUUUUGUUCAUCGAUUUUGUUGCGGUUCAAUAAAGCUGUGGGAAGAUACAGUCA